RNAcentral lists this ribosomal RNA (518 nucleotides) under uncultured Glomus. Its description in RNAcentral is "SSU rRNA". It matches the Rfam family "Eukaryotic small subunit ribosomal RNA", at positions 569 to 1090 of the family's 1831-position model. The record is from RNAcentral. Lineage: Eukaryota; Fungi; Glomeromycota; Glomeromycetes; Glomerales; Glomeraceae.
AGCAGCCGCGGUAAUUCCAGCUCCAAUAGCGUAUAUUAAAGUUGUUGCAGUUAAAAAGCUCGUAGUUGAAUUUCGGGAUCAAUUUAUUGGUCGUGCUAUUGUACGUACUGGUAUUAUUGAUUCCUACCUUCUGACGAACCAUGAUGUCAUUAAUUUGGUGUCAUGGGGAAUCAGGACUGUUACUUUGAAAAAUUAGAGUGUUUAAAGCAGGCUCACGCUUGAAUACAUUAGCAUGGAAUAACGAAAUAGGACGUUUGAUUCUAUUUUGUUGGUUUCUAGGAUCGACGUAAUGAUUAAUAGGGAUAGUUGGGGGCAUUAGUAUUCAAUUGUCAGAGGUGAAAUUCUUGGAUUUAUUGAAGACUAACUACUGCGAAAGCAUUUGCCAAGGAUGUUUUCAUUAAUCAAGAACGAAAGUUAGGGGAUCGAAGACGAUCAGAUACCGUCGUAGUCUUAACCAUAAACUAUGCCGACUAGGGAUCGGAUGAUGUUAAUUUUUUAAUGACUCAUUCGGCGUCCCG